This 24-nucleotide microRNA is filed under the name Ananas comosus (pineapple). RNAcentral describes it as "microRNA s0093_c044". Lineage: Eukaryota; Viridiplantae; Streptophyta; Magnoliopsida; Poales; Bromeliaceae. The record is from RNAcentral.
ACAACAGCAUCUCUAAUACCUUGA